GAGCCCGUGGCUCAAUGGUAGAGCGUUCGACUCAAAUACCAAAGGUCGCGGGUUCGAAUUCCUCGUGUUUC
RNAcentral lists this transfer RNA (71 nucleotides) under Schistocephalus solidus. It matches the Rfam family "tRNA". From Rfam's summary of the family: Transfer RNA (tRNA) molecules are approximately 80 nucleotides in length. Their secondary structure includes four short double-helical elements and three loops (D, anti-codon, and T loops). Lineage: Eukaryota; Metazoa; Platyhelminthes; Cestoda; Diphyllobothriidea; Diphyllobothriidae. The record is from Rfam by way of RNAcentral.